AAGAUUAAGCCAUGCAUGUCUCAGUACAAGCCAAAUUAAGGUGAAACCGCGAAAGGCUCAUUAAAUCAGUUAUGGUUCCUUAGAUCGUACCCACAUUUACUUGGAUAACUGUGGUAAUUCUAGAGCUAAUACAUGCAAACAGAGCUCCGACCGGAGACGGAAAGAGCGCUUUUAUUAGAUCAAAACCAAUCGGUGGCGGGUCUCCCGUCACCGUUCACCUUGGUGACUCUGAAUAACUUAUUGCUGAUCGCACGGUCUCGCACCGGCGACGCAUCUUUCAAAUGUCUGCCUUAUCAACUGUCGAUGGUAGGUUCUGCGCCUACCAUGGUUGUAACGGGUAACGGGGAAUCAGGGUUCGAUUCCGGAGAGGGAGCCUGAGAAACGGCUACCACAUCCAAGGAAGGCAGCAGGCGCGCAAAUUACCCACUCCCGGCACGGGGAGGUAGUGACGAAAAAUAACGAUACGGGACUCAUCCGAGGCCCCGUAAUCGGAAUGAGUACACUCUAAACCCUUUAACGAGGAUCAAUUGGAGGGCAAGUCUGGUGCCAGCAGCCGCGGUAAUUCCAGCUCCAAUAGCGUAUAUUAAAGUUGUUGCGGUUAAAAAGCUCGUAGUCGAAUUUGUGUCCCGCGCCGCCGGUUCAUCGCUCGCGGUGUCAACUGGCGUGUCCGCGGGACGUCCUGCCGGUGGGCUUAGCCCCAACGUGGGCGGCCCAAUCUCAAUCCCACCGCGGUGCUCUUCACUGAGUGUCGAGGUGGGCCGGCACGUUUACUUUGAACAAAUUAGAGUGCUUAAAGCAGGCUAAAACAUCGCCUGAAUACUGUGUGCAUGGAAUAAUGGAAUAGGACCUCGGUUCUAUUUUGUUGGUUUUCGGAACCCCGAGGUAAUGAUUAAUAGGAACGGAUGGGGGCAUUCGUAUUGCGACGUUAGAG
RNAcentral lists this ribosomal RNA (931 nucleotides) under Lepanus sp. CYP8. RNAcentral's name for it is "SSU rRNA". It matches the Rfam family "Eukaryotic small subunit ribosomal RNA", at positions 40 to 910 of the family's 1831-position model. Lineage: Eukaryota; Metazoa; Arthropoda; Insecta; Coleoptera; Scarabaeidae. The record is from RNAcentral.